CAUGUCUAAACAUUGGUUCCCAUGCAAUCAUUGAUGUUAAGCAAUGUCAAGUCUGGUUAGUACUUAGAUGGGUGACAGCUUGGGAAUACCUGGUGCUGUAAG
Molecule: non-coding RNA, 102 nt
Organism: Acanthosepion pharaonis
Lineage: Eukaryota; Metazoa; Mollusca; Cephalopoda; Sepiida; Sepiidae
Source: the annotation of a GenBank genome assembly